UACGUAGGCAGCGAGCGUUGUUCGGAGUUACUGGGCGUAAAGGGCGCGUAGGCGGCCGCCUAAGUCAGACGUGAAAUCCCUCGGCUCAACCGGGGAACUGCGUCUGAUACUGGGUGGCUUGAAUCCGGGAGAGGGAUGCGGAAUUCCAGGUGUAGCGGUGAAAUGCGUAGAUAUCUGGAGGAACACCGGUGGCGAAGGCGGCAUCCUGGACCGGCAUUGACGCUGAGGCGCGAAAGCCAGGGGAGCAAACGGG
RNAcentral lists this ribosomal RNA (253 nucleotides) under uncultured bacterium. RNAcentral describes it as "partial 16S ribosomal RNA". It matches the Rfam family "Bacterial small subunit ribosomal RNA", at positions 524 to 776 of the family's 1533-position model. The record is from RNAcentral.